CUUGCUCAUCGAUGACGAGUGGCGGACGGGUGAGUAAUGCUUGGGAACUUGCCUUUGCGAGGGGGAUAACAGUUGGAAACGACUGCUAAUACCGCAUAAUGUCUACGGACCAAACGGGGCUUCGGCUCCGGCGCAAAGAGAGGCCCAAGUGAGAUUAGCUAGUUGGUAAGGUAACGGCUUACCAAGGCGACGAUCUCUAACUGUUCUGAAAGGAAGAUCAGCCACACUGGGACUGAAACACGGCCCAGACUCCUACGGGAGGCAGCAGUGGGGAAUAUUGCACAAUGGGGGAAACCCUGAUGCAGCCAUGCCGCGUGUGUGAAGAAGGCCUUCGGGUUGUAAAGCACUUUCAGUUGUGAGGAAAAGUUAGUAGUUAAUACCUGCUAACCGUGACGUUAACAACCGAAAAAGCACCGGCUAACUCCGUGCCAGCAGCCGCCGUAAUACCGAGGGUGCGAGCGUUAAUCGGAAUUACUGGGCGUAAAGCGCACGCAGGCGGUUUGUUAAGCUAGAUGUGAAAGCCCCGGGCUCAACCUGGGAUGGUCCUUUAGAACUGGCAGACUAAAGUCUUGGAGAGGGGAGUGGAAUUCCAGGUGUAGCGGUGAAAUGCGUAGAUAUCUGGAGGA
This 626-nucleotide ribosomal RNA is filed under the name uncultured bacterium. RNAcentral's name for it is "bacterial SSU rRNA". It matches the Rfam family "Bacterial small subunit ribosomal RNA", at positions 67 to 705 of the family's 1533-position model. The record is from RNAcentral.